GUAAUACUGUAUAAUCCCUGCGGGGGAAAGAUUUAUCGCUACUAGAUGAGCCUAUGUCAGAUUAGCUAGUUGGUGGGGUAAUGGCCCACCAAGGCUGUGAUCUGUAGCUGGUCUGAGAGGAUGAUCAGCCACACUGGAACUGAGACACGGUCCAGACUCCUACGGGAGGCAGCAGUGGGGAAUAUUGGACAAUGGGCGCAAGCCUGAUCCAGCUAUGCCGCGUGAGUGAGGAAGGCCUUAGGGUUGUAAAACUCUUUCAGUAGGGAAGAUAAUGACGGUAC
This 281-nucleotide ribosomal RNA is filed under the name Anaplasma ovis. RNAcentral describes it as "partial 16S ribosomal RNA". It matches the Rfam family "Bacterial small subunit ribosomal RNA", at positions 163 to 478 of the family's 1533-position model. Lineage: Bacteria; Pseudomonadati; Pseudomonadota; Alphaproteobacteria; Rickettsiales; Anaplasmataceae. The record is from RNAcentral.